ACCUUUACCUAUCAAGCAGGUGCUGCCAUUUGGCGGCUUAAUAGGGAAAGCGGUGAAAAUCCGCUGCAGCCCCCGCUACUGUGAGCACUGACAAGCCCUCAAAAAAUUUUUGCCACUGGAAGGUUGGGUUCCUCUUUUGAAAGUGGAGCUUGCCUUCUGGGAAGGUGCUGAGGGUGAGGAUGAGGUGCGAGCCAGGAGACCUGCCUGCUUGAGAUGCCUUGA
Molecule: non-coding RNA, 222 nt
Filed under: Caldicellulosiruptor saccharolyticus
Lineage: Bacteria; Bacillati; Bacillota; Caldicellulosiruptorales; Caldicellulosiruptoraceae
Source: RNAcentral